CCUACGGGAGGCAGCAGUGAGGAAUAUUGGUCAAUGGACGAGAGUCUGAACCAGCCAAGUAGCGUGAAGGAUGACUGCCCUAUGGGUUGUAAACUUCUUUUAUAUGGGAAUAAAAUGUUCCACGUGUGGGAUUUUGUAUGUACCAUAUGAAUAAGGAUCGGCUAACUCCGUGCCAGCAGCCGCGGUAAUACGGAGGAUCCGAGCGUUAUCCGGAUUUAUUGGGUUUAAAGGGAGCGUAGGUGGAUUGUUAAGUCAGUUGUGAAAGUUUGGGGCUCAACCGUAAAAUUGCAGUUGAUACUGGCAGUCUUGAGUACAGUAGAGGUGGGCGGAAUUCGAGGUGUAGCGGUGAAAUGCUUAGAUAUCACGAAGAACUCCGAUGGCGAAGGCAGUUCACUGGACUGCAACUGACACUGAGGCUCGAAAGUGUGGGUAUCAAACAGGAUUAGAUACCCUGGUAGUC
RNAcentral lists this ribosomal RNA (460 nucleotides) under uncultured bacterium. RNAcentral's name for it is "partial 16S ribosomal RNA". It matches the Rfam family "Bacterial small subunit ribosomal RNA", at positions 338 to 795 of the family's 1533-position model. The record is from RNAcentral.